This 400-nucleotide long non-coding RNA is filed under the name Manihot esculenta (cassava). Its description in RNAcentral is "long non-coding RNA (MESC_LNC012914)". Lineage: Eukaryota; Viridiplantae; Streptophyta; Magnoliopsida; Malpighiales; Euphorbiaceae. The record is from RNAcentral.
AAUAGACAUUAAGAACAUAAUGAUAAUAUGAACUAAAAUAUGCUCUAUCACUAUGCGACACUUAGCUCAAUCUGUCGAACUGAGUCAGCCUUAAUCUCUCAAUACACAGCGGAAGAUAAACAAAAGGGUUGAUUCCAGUAAUCAACAGAUUGCACGUGCUCACAGCGGUCAAUAAGCACAACCUUGGGUAAUUGGGACCUCAAGGUGUUGUGGAAGCCAAUCACACACACAAGUAAGGAAGCAAAGUAACUAAACAAAAAAGCAAGAUUGGGAAGAGUAUUUGGGGUGUAAGAGAAUCUACUAAGUGAUGGAGAAAUACAAUGGAGGUUACAACAAAUGUCUAGCAGAAUAUUGACUUGCUGUUUAGAAUGUCUCCAGGUCACUCCAUCUCUCCAUGUUU